Molecule: long non-coding RNA, 520 nt
Organism: Betta splendens (Siamese fighting fish)
Lineage: Eukaryota; Metazoa; Chordata; Actinopteri; Anabantiformes; Osphronemidae
Exons: 3
Source: RefSeq, a predicted model, not a curated record
AAAACAGGAAGUAGUAUGAAACAUGACAGCUGCAGAGGAUUAUAUUAAUCCUAUUUUAAUCUUUUCACUUUAUCAGAGAUGCUGAACCAGAAUAAGAUGCUUCAGUUGAAGGAGUCCAGACCCAAGCAAAAGGUGACAUUCACCAGACGCCAAGGGCAGGAACCACUGUUGCACCAUCACUUGUAGUGCAGCUGUGGAGGCUGGAGAACUUCAUCCAGGGUUUCCUUGAUGACAGAGACCAGAUGAUGACCAUAGGACCUGGAGACCCCUGUGUUUCAGGAGGCUCAGUGCACCUACACCUCUUCGCUCCCUCCAGCCUGCAGUCCAGGCAAAGAGGAGCCUCUGGAUCCCAACCACAUACUGUACAGUAGAGGAAGUGACUGAAUCAUUGCUUCCUGUGUGCUGCUGGGUUUGGAAGCUCUCCAGCUCACUGUCAGCCUUGCUCUGAGCAGAAGACAGUCAAGAUGAGACUUCUCCAAUGUAUAAACAUCUAACACAUGUUUCAAUAAAACAAUUUAAU